UGAAAUAAAGUGUAAAGCACGUUAAAUUUUGAUUUUAAAAGAAAAAUUUCAA
Molecule: transfer RNA, 52 nt
Filed under: Ardeacarus ardeae
Lineage: Eukaryota; Metazoa; Arthropoda; Arachnida; Sarcoptiformes; Pterolichidae
Description: tRNA-Gln
Source: RNAcentral